GAUGAACGCUGGCGGCGUGCCUAAUACAUGCCAGUCGAGCGAGCAGAUAAGGAGCUUGCUCCUUUGACGUUAGCGGCGGACGGGUGAGUAACACGUGGGUAACCUACCUAUAAGACUGGAAUAACUCCGGGAAACCGGGGCUAAUGCCGGAUAACAUUUAGAACCGCAUGGUUCUAAAGUGAAAGAUGGUUUUGCUAUCACUUAUAGAUGGACCCGCGCCGUAUUAGCUAGUUGGUAAGGUAACGGCUUACCAAGGCAACGAUACGUAGCCGACCUGAGAGGGUGAUCGGCCACACUGGAACUGAGACACGGUCCAGACUCCUACGGGAGGCAGCAGUAGGGAAUCUUCCGCAAUGGGCGAAAGCCUGACGGAGCAACGCCGCGUGAGUGAUGAAGGUCUUCGGAUCGUAAAACUCUGUUAUUAGGGAAGAACAAAUGUGUAAGUAACUGUGCACGUCUUGACGGUACCUAAUCAGAAAGCCACGGCUAACUACGUG
Molecule: ribosomal RNA, 497 nt
Filed under: uncultured bacterium
Lineage: Bacteria
Description: partial 16S ribosomal RNA
Rfam family: Bacterial small subunit ribosomal RNA
Source: RNAcentral